CGGGGUGAGUAAUGUCUGGGAAACUGCCUGAUGGAGGGGGAUAACUACUGGAAACGGUAGCUAAUGCCGCAUAACGUCGCAAGACCAAAGAGGGGGACCUUAGGGCCUCUUGCCAUCGGAUGUGCCCAGAUGGGAUUAGCUAGUAGGUGGGGUAACGGCUCACCUAGGCGACGAUCCCUAGCUGGUCUGAGAGGAUGACCAGCCACACUGGAACUGAGACACGGUCCAG
RNAcentral lists this ribosomal RNA (229 nucleotides) under uncultured bacterium. RNAcentral describes it as "partial 16S ribosomal RNA". It matches the Rfam family "Bacterial small subunit ribosomal RNA", at positions 104 to 334 of the family's 1533-position model. The record is from RNAcentral.